This 72-nucleotide transfer RNA is filed under the name Danio rerio (zebrafish). RNAcentral describes it as "tRNA-Pro (TGG) (tRNA-Pro-TGG-48-1)". It matches the Rfam family "tRNA". From Rfam's summary of the family: Transfer RNA (tRNA) molecules are approximately 80 nucleotides in length. Their secondary structure includes four short double-helical elements and three loops (D, anti-codon, and T loops). Lineage: Eukaryota; Metazoa; Chordata; Actinopteri; Cypriniformes; Danionidae. The record is from Rfam by way of RNAcentral.
GGCUCGUUGGUCUAGGGGUAUGAGUCUUGCUUUGGGUGUGAGAGGUCCCGGGUUCAAAUCCCGGACGAGCCC